UACGUAGGGUGCAAGCGUUGUCCGGAAUCAUUGGGCGUAAAGCGCGCGUAGGCGGUGAUCUUUGUCAGAGGUGAAAUCCCGAGGCUCAACUUCGGAAUUGCCUUUGAAACGGGAUUGCUUGAGUCCGAGAGAGGAUGGCGGAAUUCCUAGUGUAGAGGUGAAAUUCGUAGAUAUUAGGAAGAACACCGGUGGCGAAGGCGGCCAUCUGGCUCGGUACUGACGCUCAGGCGCGAAAGCGUGGGGAGCAAACAGG
This 253-nucleotide ribosomal RNA is filed under the name uncultured bacterium. RNAcentral's name for it is "partial 16S ribosomal RNA". It matches the Rfam family "Bacterial small subunit ribosomal RNA", at positions 524 to 776 of the family's 1533-position model. The record is from RNAcentral.